Molecule: long non-coding RNA, 632 nt
Organism: Gasterosteus aculeatus aculeatus (three-spined stickleback)
Lineage: Eukaryota; Metazoa; Chordata; Actinopteri; Perciformes; Gasterosteidae
Source: Ensembl
GGAGAGAGUGUUAGAAGGACCUCGUGUACGGUAUGCUUUCAACAUGUUAAUGUGACAUGUCCGUAACGAACGCCUACGGUCUGGGGUCUUUAUUACAUAGUUAGUAUCGCUGAGCUUACUAUCAAUCACAUAUGGACCUGAGAAACGGGCUGAGAGAGACGACCCUGGAACGGGCAACAAUGCUAGAACUAGCUCUCCCGGCACAAACGAACGCUCAACAGUCCCCUUAUCAUAACGCAUUUUCAUACGCUUCUGUGCAGUCGAGAGGGACUCUUUAGCUAUUGCGCAGGCUGCAUGUAGCCUCUCCCUCAUCUGGCCAACGAAGUCCAUCACAUUCUUAGGGGCACUGACAGACGUGGGGGACAAAACGUUUUCCUUCAGAACCUUCAACGGUCCUCUUAGUGUAUGUCCGAACACUAAAUCAGCAGGGCUAAAACCUAACGACUCUUGCACUGUUUCCCUACUAGCAAACAACACAAAUGGCACUCCCUCAUCCCAAUUUGGAUUAUCCAUACAGUAUUUUCGGAGCAUCGAUUUGAGGGUCUGGUGCCACCGCUCGAGUGCUCCCUGGCUUUCCGGAUGAUACGCACUCGAGACCUGGGACGACCACCUGCUUGACAACCCCUAAACCC